RNAcentral lists this ribosomal RNA (906 nucleotides) under uncultured archaeon. Its description in RNAcentral is "bacterial SSU rRNA". It matches the Rfam family "Archaeal small subunit ribosomal RNA", at positions 21 to 903 of the family's 1478-position model. The record is from RNAcentral.
CCCCACUGCUAUCGGGAUGGGACUAAGACAUGCUAGUCGAGCGUCUCCAAGCUAUGGAAGAGACGCGGCACACAGCUCAGUAACACGUGGCUAACCUGCCCUUGGGACAAGGACAACUCCGGGAAACUGGGGCUAAUCCCUGAUAAGUGAGAACUCCUGGAAUGGAUUCUCGCUCAAAGGACGUUUAGACCAUGCUUCUAGGCGUCGCCCAAGGAGGGGGCCGCGACCGGUCAGGUUGUUGGUGAGGUAACGGCUCACCAAGCCUUUAACCGGUACGGGCCGUGAGAGCGGAAGCCCGGAGAUGGGCACUGAGACAAGGGCCCAGGCCCUACGGGGCGCAGCAGUCGCGAAAACUCCGCAAUACACGAAAGUGUGACGGGGCCAUCCCGAGUGCCAUCCGCUGAGGAUGGCUUUUCCCCAGUGUAUAAAGCUGGGGGAAUAAGGAGAGGGCAAGCCUGGUGUCAGCCGCCGCGGUAAUACCAGCUCUCCGAGUGGUGGGGAUGUUUAUUGGGCCUAAAGCAUUCGUAGCCUGCUUGGCAAGUCCUCCGUUAAAUCCAACGAUUCAAUCGUUGGGCUGCGGGGGAUACUGUCCGGCUAGGGGGCGGGAGAGGCCGACGGUAUCCUCGGGGUAGGGGUGAAAUCCUAUAAUCCCGGGAGGACCACCAGUGGCGAAGGCUGUCGGCUAGAACGCGCUCGACGGUGAGGGAUGAAAGCUGGGGGAGCGAACCGGAUUAGAUACCCGGGUAGUCCCAGCUGUAAACGGUGCAGGCUAGGUGUUGGCGCGGCUACGUGCCGCUCCAGUGCCGCAGGGAAGCCGUUAAGCCUGCCGCCUGGGAAGUACGGCCGCAAGGCUGAAACUUAAAGGAAUUGGCGGGGGAGCACCACAAGGUGUGAAGCUUGCGGUUU